UGGCCAUUGGUCACCCAACAGUUGGCCAACACCUGAUCAAUGGUUGCCCAAUGGUUGACCAGUAGUUCACCAGUAGUUGGCCAGCAGUUGACCAGUGGUUGACCAGAGAUCGACCAAAAGCUGCCCACGAGCCAGCACUGUGCCCUGGUGGCCAAGAAGGCCGGUGGGACCUGGGAUGCAUUGCCCAGAGCGUGGCCAGCAGGGUGAGGGAGGGGAAUGGUUGGCCAACGGUCACCCAACAGUUGGCCAACAGUUGCCCAGAGGUCGGCCAACAGCUGCCCACGAGCCAUCACUGUGCCCUGGUGGCCGAGAAGGCCAACGAGACCAUCCAGAGGUCCCCUCCAACCCUACGGAUC
This 356-nucleotide long non-coding RNA is filed under the name Gallus gallus (chicken). Lineage: Eukaryota; Metazoa; Chordata; Aves; Galliformes; Phasianidae. The record is from RNAcentral.